Molecule: small RNA, 78 nt
Filed under: Flavobacterium frigidimaris
Lineage: Bacteria; Pseudomonadati; Bacteroidota; Flavobacteriia; Flavobacteriales; Flavobacteriaceae
Description: Flavo-1 RNA
Rfam family: Flavo-1 RNA
Source: RNAcentral
CUCUAGCCCCGAUAGAAAUGAAAAUCCUUUUGUGCCGAUGUUCGGCAUAAAAGAUUGAAAUGAAUAGCGGGACAAAAG